Long non-coding RNA from Quercus lobata, 1420 nucleotides. RefSeq lists it as uncharacterized. Lineage: Eukaryota; Viridiplantae; Streptophyta; Magnoliopsida; Fagales; Fagaceae. The record is from RefSeq and is a predicted model, not a curated record. The transcript has 3 exons.
UUGCAGAUUAGAUGGCAUGCAUUUCAACUUAAUCCUUCUGCCCCAAAAGAAGGCAUCAAUAAGAAAGAGUAUUGCAAGAACAAGUUUGGAUCUCAAAUUGAGAGGAUAGAAGCUCGGAUGUCAGAGGUUUUAGGGGCCAUCGAUUGGAAUAUAACCUUUCAGGACUCACGGGAAAUACUCUAGACAGCCACAGCUUAUGCAUUUCGCUGGGCAACAUAAGCAACAUAAUCUUAUGGAGGUGCUCUCUCUUGGCUACUUCACUCAGACAAAAUUUAUUGGUGACAAGUAAGUUGGGCUGUAAUGUUUGAUCUUUAGAUUUUCUAAAUGUUUAGGCUGUUUGCAUAAAUUUUAUUUUCCUGUAAACAAUUCUUAAAAUUAUUUUUCUUAUAGAUUGAUGUUUUGUUUAACAUGAAUACCAUGUAGAAUGCACCCCUCCUCCUCCAAAAACUAAAAAUAAAUUCUUUCAAAGAUCAUGAGUUAUUAGAGACUAAACAACUAGACAGAUCUUCAUUUUGACCUUAGCUCCACAUGUUCAACUCACUUAUCAAAAUAAAAUUGUAGGAAAUUUAUUGCUUUCUAGAACCAAAAUUUCUUCAAUUAUUGACCAUUCUACUUUAGUUUGAUAUGGCACUGGCAGUCAACUGAAAUUACUAGUCCCCAGCAGUUUGUGCAAAGAGUCACUUCUUUGCAUAAAAUAUAAAUUGAAGCUUCUUAGAUUGUGGAAGAAUCUAUUGCAGAGAGAUAAUUAGAGUCAAAGCAAUUAUGUUACUAUUGCAAUUCUUAUAAUUCUUUUGAAUAAGAGUAUGAAAUUGAAACUUUGAAAGUUUUUUGCCUGUUUGUUGUUGGUUCUUCUAACUACCAGAAAAUUUCAUUUAUUGUUGUUUUGGUUAUCAUUAGUUGUCUCAUGAAAGAAAAGCUUUAAUCAAUUUGAAUAUUUUUAGUGGAAACUGAGCUAUGGGUUUGAAUUUUUUAUGAUUCAUAUGUUAGAAAUUGAGAUUGGUAUUGAUGGUGAGAUAGGUUUAUAUAGUAGAAAGGAGAUUAAUUGAAUCAUAAUGGUCUCUAAGGUUAUCAAUUUGAAAGUUUAAGGGAUAUUGAUAAGUAGGUUUGAUUUUUUAAUGAUUAGAGUUUUGAACAUAAUGGUUUCUUCUAUUAAUGUUUCUUGAAUGUUGGCUGAAAAUUGGAUUCCUAUGGCUAGAUUGCUGAAUAAAUAUAUUGAUUGAAAUUCAUAUAGAUUGUCAGAUUGAUCGUUGCUCAUUCUCUCUCAAUCGUGCGUUAUAGUCCGCCCCCUCAAUCUUUGCCUUUUAUUAACGCCACCACCAAGGUUUGCUACUUUCCUCUAAUUUUUUUUUUUUUUUCUAGCCUAUUUAUGUAUAAAAUAUAUGAUAGUUGGCCAUCACAAAACCUUCUUGAAGGUUGUCCA